CCUACGGGAGGCAGCAGUGAGGAAUAUUGGACAAUGGAGGCAACUCUGACCCAGCCAUGCCGCGUGAGUGAAGAAGGUUUUCGGAUUGUAAAGCUCUUUCUGCUGUGACGAUAAUGACGGUAGCAUCUAAAGAAGCCCCGGCUAACUUCGUGCCAGCAGCCGCGGUAAUACGAAGGGGGCAAGCGUUGUUCGGAUUUACUGGGCGUAAAGGGAGUGUAGGCGGUUUAGUAAGAUAGUGGUGAAAGCCCAGGGCUGAACUUUGGAAUUGCCAUUAUAACUAUUAGACUAGAAUUAAGGAGAGGAUAGUGGAAUACCUGGUGUAGAGGUGAAAUGCGUAGAUAUCGGGAAGAACACCAGUGGCGAAGGCGACUAACUGGAUUGACACUGACGUUGAGGCUCGAAAGCAUGGGGAGCAAACAGGAUUAGAUACCCUAGUAGUC
This 440-nucleotide ribosomal RNA is filed under the name uncultured bacterium. RNAcentral's name for it is "partial 16S ribosomal RNA". It matches the Rfam family "Bacterial small subunit ribosomal RNA", at positions 338 to 795 of the family's 1533-position model. The record is from RNAcentral.